GUCUAGCUUCCAGUAAACAGAUAUUAGUGAUAUGUGCUGAAGAGUCUAGCUUCCAGUAAACAGAUAUUAGUGAUAUGUGCUGAAGAGUCUAGCUUCCAGUAAACAUAUGUUAGUGAUAUGUGCUGAAGAAUCUAGCUUCCAGUAAACAGAUGUUAGUGAUGUGUGCUGAAGAGUCUAGCUUCCAGUAAAUAAAUGUUUGGGAUAUGUGCUGAAGAGUAACUACUAGUAAAGAAAUGCUAAUGACAUGUGCUGAAGAGUAGCUUCUAGUAAACAAAUGGUACUUGGAAUUAUUAAUGUAGUCGUUCUCUUCGACACUGUGGUUAUAUGACCUGCUCCAGGAACAAGAAGACUAUCUUGCUGGUUCGCUAGUUCUUAGAUGAAAUUGAAGAAAGAAUCUGUGACGUAGAGACCUAAUGCAUUCCUUGAUUGGCCUUACCCUCUGUUGUGGAUUGCAGUUUCGCCUACUCAAGGUUCAUCAGUAUAGCUUGGGUCAGCAAACCAAAGAAAUACCAUUAGUUCUCUUAUAAUGGUAAAGUGUACAUAAUAUAUUAAUUUUAAGGGCCAAGAGGCCAUAACAAGGUUAGUUAUAAAACGGGUGUUUUCAAUUAUUAUUCUUAAAUUACGUUAACUAUGUAGAUCGUUGUUGUUUCACACCUCAUGGGUGAUUCUAAACUAUACAUGUCUUUGUGCAUAAUACACACAUUUCAACUUUUAUCAUUGAUAUUAUUAAAAUUCAAUGAACGGUUGAGCCCCUGUUUUCUUUCUUCCCCCACGCAUCCCAUCUACGGAUUAGUAACAUACGAAUAUACAGCAUACGGUUUGAACACAGCACGGCUUCAAUAUUUUCAAGUUUUGCGAUCCCCAAGCAGCAAUGUCAGAGUAUUGUAACUCCGCGCACUUGUCAUAGGUUUAUUUCCUGCCCGAUAACUUCAAGAACACGGAAACCUGGGCUAUCAUACAAUCUAGCAAUCUGUUUUUUUUUAAAAACUGAAGCAGGUUAGAUAUGGAGCUACCACUCUGGAUUUGUAUUUCACUUCUUAUGCAACAACUUAGGUCUUUUUGUUAAAUAAAUGUGAAGGAUAAGUAUCAUUUAUGUCUGUUUGUUAUGAAUUUCGCGCAAAGCUACACUAGGGCUAUCUGCGCUAGCCGUCCCUAAUUUAGCAGUAUAAGACUAGAGGAAAGGCAGUUAGUCAUCCCCACCCACCGCCAACCGUCACAUU
Limulus polyphemus (Atlantic horseshoe crab) is the source of this 1220-nucleotide long non-coding RNA. RefSeq lists it as uncharacterized. Lineage: Eukaryota; Metazoa; Arthropoda; Merostomata; Xiphosura; Limulidae. The transcript has 3 exons. The record is from RefSeq and is a predicted model, not a curated record.